Molecule: long non-coding RNA, 212 nt
Filed under: Elaeis guineensis (African oil palm)
Lineage: Eukaryota; Viridiplantae; Streptophyta; Magnoliopsida; Arecales; Arecaceae
Description: long non-coding RNA (EGUI_LNC058555)
Source: RNAcentral
GAUUACCAUUUGAAUUUGAUUCUUUAUCAUUUGCAUAGUGAUGCAUUUGUAAACUUAUUUGAGCAAAAUAGUGAAUGCCAUUGGGUCUGAGAGAUUUAGAACCAAAUAACCUAAAGUAUACAGAUGGUUCUCAUGGUUAGAUCAUGUAUGAGAAGAAAUGAUCUGUCGACUGGAGAAAAUGGGUCUUUGGGCUCAUUGACUGUUAAGUCAUG